Molecule: long non-coding RNA, 457 nt
Filed under: Capsicum annuum
Lineage: Eukaryota; Viridiplantae; Streptophyta; Magnoliopsida; Solanales; Solanaceae
Description: long non-coding RNA (CANN_LNC004334)
Source: RNAcentral
GGAACAUAUAUGUAGAAAAUGAGAACUGCAGCCUCUGUUAUGCAGAUGUACCUGAAACUGUCGAGCAUCUUUUUGUUGAGCAUCAAUGGGUGUCUGAGGUGGGGAAUACACUGGCGUCUUGGGCUGGGAUUGUGUUUCGAAAACAAGCUGCCAGGCAAAGUCUACAAUAGAUAAAGGGUCGAAGGUGGAAGCAACUCAAGAAGGAGAUAGCGGCUGCAAUUUGUGGAGCUUUAACGUAUUACACUUGGCAGGCAAGGAACUGAAAACUUUUCAGGCAAAUAAAUGUAAAUAGGGAGUUUAUAAUUACACAAAUUCAGAAAGAGUUGAAGGAGAGAGUACAGAUGACUUACCAAUUCAAAGAAAGCUAGGAAAUGUCAGAGUUUACUUCAAAAAUUUCGCAUUAAAGCUGUAGAGGAACAGUGAGAUUUGUGUUUUGUUCUUGUGGUCUGGAUGCUCA